This 54-nucleotide transfer RNA is filed under the name Eutropis multifasciata (many-lined sun skink). RNAcentral's name for it is "partial tRNA-Leu". The record is from RNAcentral. Lineage: Eukaryota; Metazoa; Chordata; Lepidosauria; Squamata; Scincidae.
CACUUUUAAAGGAUACGAGCCUAAUCCAUUGGCCUUAGAGCCAAAACCUUGGUG